Molecule: ribosomal RNA, 327 nt
Filed under: uncultured eukaryote
Lineage: Eukaryota
Description: partial 18S ribosomal RNA
Rfam family: Eukaryotic small subunit ribosomal RNA
Source: RNAcentral
CCCUUAGAUGUUCUGGGCCGCACACGCGCUACACUGAAGGAGGCAGCGUGUACUCCUGGAUCGAAAGAUUUGGGUAACCCGCGAAUCUCCUUCGUGCUAGGGAUUGAGGUUUGCAAUUAUCCUUCAUGAAUGAGGAAUUCCCAGUAAGUGCAAGUCAUAAGCUUGCGCUGACUACGUCCCUGCCCUUUGUACACACCGCCCGUCGCUACUACCGAUUGAAUGAUUUAGUGAGGACUUCGGACUGGGACCGAUGCGGCUUUCGGGCUGCGUCGGUAUUCUGGAAAGAUGUCCAAACUGUAUCAUUUAGAGGAAGUAAAANUCGUAACA